Long non-coding RNA from Teleopsis dalmanni, 1288 nucleotides. RefSeq lists it as uncharacterized. The record is from RefSeq and is a predicted model, not a curated record. Lineage: Eukaryota; Metazoa; Arthropoda; Insecta; Diptera; Diopsidae. The transcript has 4 exons.
AAUUUUUUUUAUAUAAUAUUGUAAUUAUGUUUAUGUGGUACAAAUUGGAUAAGACAAAGUACGGCAUAUAUUUGUUCGUUUAGACUAAAUUAGUACAGUUGCAACAAAUUUAAGCAGAUAUUCGGACGUACUGUAUGGCAUGUCAAUUUUCUAGAAAUAUCUAUUUGAGAACUACAACUACAAAAGUUUGUUGUCGUCAUUGGUUAGUUGUUCGGAAGACGAGUAGGUUUCGGUUGAUUCAGUAUCCGAAGUGUCCGAAGAAGUUGAUGAAAACAUUUCUUUCUGUGGUGCAAAUAGCGUCAAUUGUAAGUAAAAGUAAAAAUAUUUGAGUGUUGGUAGUGCUGAGAAUAAACCAUCAAUAAGAAAGCUGAAGAAUGUCGUGAAGUAAGGUUGGCUCAAUUCCAGAACUGAGAAAAAGUUUUCAUCAAGAAGUAGAGAAAAUUGCAGUAAUAACUGAACUGGAAGCAAAUAAAUUGCGUUCUUUGAGCAAUAAAAUCACCGUUUCUCGUUUCAUAACUGAUAAGGAUAUAAUGUGUCAUGAAAUACUAAAACCAAUAUGGAUAAGUGAACAUUGUUUUAAAGAUUAUCCUGAACUGCUGAGUAAAACAGGGAAGCAAAAGUUUGACACACCAGCGCCUAUUAAGAAGCAAGCAUGGCCUAUAUUAUUGAAACGCGAAUUUCUUCAAACUUAAAUUAGAGAAAAAAUAAAAGCAUUUUUUUUAUUUUUUUUUGUUAUAGGUUUUUGUGUUUCUUUAAAACCUUAAGCUUAAGCCAAGCGAUAAGGUUCUUGUCUUCUGUUCUAAGCGAGCUCACGCUGAUGAUUUAUCUAGUGACUUAUUCAUAAAAGGUGUGUCUACAGAAUGUGUUCAUGGUGCACGGGAACAGGUCGAUCGCAAACAAGCACUUGCUGACUUGGCGUCAGGUGGUUGUUGCUUGGUGGCGACGGACCUGGCUUCAAGACGCUUAAACAUAGAAGACAUAAUGCAUGUUUUAAACCACGAUUUUAAGCAAAACGUUGAGGAAUAUGUUCACCGUGUUGGAAAAACUCGAUGUGCUGAAAGAUCCGGUUGUUGUGAAAGAUCUAAUACGUAUUUUGGAAGAAGCUGGCCUUGGAGUUCCAGUUGAUCUUCGUUAAAUGUUCACAAACUUUGAUGAGAAAAAAAAAAUUCCCGUGGUAUUGAUAUUUAGAGGGGUGGCCGUUAUGAAAUGACUUCUUUUUAAAUAUAUAAUCAAUGCUUUAUUGAUAUCUUGAUUACUUUUUAUCAAAAAGCGAUUAACAAAUCGUUAC